Molecule: ribosomal RNA, 477 nt
Filed under: uncultured bacterium
Lineage: Bacteria
Description: partial 16S ribosomal RNA
Rfam family: Bacterial small subunit ribosomal RNA
Source: RNAcentral
GAUUAACGCUGGCGGCGUGCAUAACACAUGCAAGUCGAACGAUGAAACUUAACUGAUUUCUUCGGAAUGAUUUUAAGUGGGUUAGUGGCGGACGGGUGAGUAACGCGUGAGUAACCUGCCUUGGAGAAGGGGAUAGCCUUUGGAAACGAAGAAUAAUACCCUAUGAUAUGAUAAUAUCUCAUGAUAUUAUCAUCAAAGAUUUAUCGCUCUAAGAUGGACUUGCGUCUGAUUAGUUAGUUGGUGAGGUAACAGCUCACCAAGGCAGCGAUCAGUAGCCGGCUUGAGAGAGUGUACGGCCACAUUGGGACUGAGACACGGCCCAGACUCCUACGGGAGGCAGCAGUGGGGAAUUUUGCACAAUGGGGGAAACCCUGAUGCAGCGACGCCGCGUGAUUUAGAAGGCCUUCGGGUUGUAAAAAUCUUUUGUAUGGGAAGAAAAUGACAGUACCAUACGAAUAAGGACCGGCUAAUUCCGUG